UUGGAUAUAAAAGCCACUAGCAUGCCAGGGGAUCUCAGUCAAAGGAUCAUGAAACACUAUGACCCAGAGAUGUCUCAAAUAGUUAUACCUGACAGGGGCAAGAUCCCAGUUGAUGUAGAAAGUGUUCGCAGGAUAUGGGGCUUGCCAAACAAAGGGAGGAAAGUCUGCUUCGAAAUGAAUCCCAAUGUCAUAAGGGAAUUCAACAGCAUCUACAAGAUUGAGGGCAAAAACUCUCCUACGCUGACAUCGUGGUGCAAAAUGAUUGAAAAUAUGAACGGGGCUGCUAAUGAUGAUUUUCUCCGUGCUUGGCUGGCAGUUGCCUUUUCUUGUUUCCUCGCUCCAACAACAAGCUUGAGCAUUUCGCCAAGGUGUUUCCCCGCUAUCUUGAACACAAAUGUCAUCAAAGACUCGAAGAUAUGCGACUUUGUUGUUGAUCAACUAAGGCUAGCAUUCAUGGGGUUUGGGGAGAAGAAGAAAGCGGUUUGCUGCUGUGUCUUCCACCUAGUAGUAAGUACAAAUACAAUAUUUAACAAUUUUUUGUUUGUUCAUUCUUUUUUUCCUAAUUCAAAUACACUAUGGGAAUGA
This 585-nucleotide ribosomal RNA is filed under the name Triticum aestivum (bread wheat). RNAcentral describes it as "partial small subunit ribosomal RNA". Lineage: Eukaryota; Viridiplantae; Streptophyta; Magnoliopsida; Poales; Poaceae. The record is from RNAcentral.